UGGGGUUGUGGCUCAGUGGUAGAGCACUUGCCUAGUGUGCAUGAGGCACUGGGUUUGAUCCGCAGCGCCACAA
RNAcentral lists this transfer RNA (73 nucleotides) under Marmota monax (woodchuck). Its description in RNAcentral is "tRNA.Thr". It matches the Rfam family "tRNA". Rfam says of the family: Transfer RNA (tRNA) molecules are approximately 80 nucleotides in length. The record is from RNAcentral. Lineage: Eukaryota; Metazoa; Chordata; Mammalia; Rodentia; Sciuridae.